Molecule: long non-coding RNA, 3529 nt
Organism: Photinus pyralis (common eastern firefly)
Lineage: Eukaryota; Metazoa; Arthropoda; Insecta; Coleoptera; Lampyridae
Exons: 4
Source: RefSeq, a predicted model, not a curated record
UCAUCAGGUGCUCUGGUAUGUUUUUCCCGACACCUGUUGGAGUGCACUAAUUAUGUGGCUGCGCUCUUCUAGAAAAUGCAAUUUUUAUGUUAUUUUUAAUGUGUCGUCAGUGUUUAAAAAUAUUGCGCAAUAUUGUGUAAAUUUAGGUAUUCUAAAGUUCCGAAAAUCAAUCGCAUAUAUCAGCUGCUGGUGACGUACUAUAGUUGUCACGACUUUCACUACUAAACUGGUUUUCAAAAUUCCACUAUUGACCGUUUUGAAUGAUGCGAUUCCACAAAACGUGAAUCAUAAGAAAAGCACGGGUAUGAUUCAUUCUUUGAAACUUCACUUUUCAUCAUGAGUAAUAGAAAUGGACCGCCAUUGUAUUUGGCUUUGAGUUUCAAAAUGCCUUUAAAAAUAAGACAUGACUCCUUGUAAGUAUUCAUCAAAUUAAUUAGAGUUUAAUCACUUAUCACGCCAUCUAGUUCAAUGCACGCCCUGUUUGAACUGCAUUAGUUCUUGACGUCAUUAUCAGCACGUUUUGUUUGUCCAGUGUCCUCAUCUUUUGUUUUCUGGAGAGAACCCCAAACAUUUUGUUCUUGCAGGAAUUUUAAGUCAAGGUUAUACAAAAGUUGGUGGUUCAGUUCUGAAGAAUGUUAAGUUUUCGAGAAAAAAAAAACGUUUUUCUGUAAACACAAGUUCAUAGCGCUUUUUGGCAAUCGCGUUUAAAACUAAUUUUGAUGCAAUUGUUUAAAAAACGCGCUCCGAAUUUUUGUUUUAUUUAUAUAUGUACAAAGAAAACAAUUGCGCGAUACUUUGGGACUUCUGCAAAGCUUUGUAUGAGAUGCAGAAAUCAUCUGUUCAAAAUUAUUAUACCAUUGUUUUGUGUUAUUUUAUUUGAAUUAAUAUAGCCAAUGCUGGUAGCCUUGUAGUGCUAUUAAGGAAAAAGGCAAUGGAUAUUCGUGCAAUGCCUACUAAAAACGUAUUUAGCUUUAGUAAUUAUUUACGGGUAAAGGGUGUCGGAUUGGUAACAGGCAACAUAGUGUUUACGAAUACAUAUUCAGGUUUAGAACUAAAAUUCAAAUUUUGUGACUGAUUGAAAAAGAUCCUAUUUAAUUAAAAAAAAUUGCAAAGAGUAAAUUAUGGAUAUUAUGGCUAACAAAGCGGAUUUUACAAGGUUAUCUGGGAUUUGUUAAAAUUAACAAGCUAGGAUGGAAAUUUACGUGUGUCAAUUCGGCACGUUUUGUACAAUGGGUUUUGCAAUUUUUACAGCUGUGAUGCAUUUGGCUGCUAGUGUUCUAACGUUUUUAAGUUUUAAUUGUCACGAAAAAGGUAAUAAAAUUACUGAAUAUCAUGGAUUUUCGUCAGAGAUUUGAGAUUUAUUGUUAGGAGACCUUUUGAAGUGUACCAGUGCCAUGUGAUACUUCCAACGCCAUAAGCCCACCGAUGAUGGAAAGAGGGAAGAAUGAAAACUCGUCUAAUCUCCCACUGUUAAAGAUCUUUAAAUCCCAUAUAAAAGGAAUGCAAUUUUGACUGUUCGGUAAGUAAAACCCCCUUUUCAACGACCUCCCUGAAAAUGAGGCUAUUACGUAUAAUUUAGACGCAUGAUGUAGUACCCAUUAAAAACACCCGUGCGUAAUGAAACAAAUUAGAAUAGAUCAUGUACCUACGUUUGGAAAUUUGCCUUAUUUUCAAUUCAAAAUUCACGGAGGUCGUAGAAAAAGUGUGGUACUUAAUUUUCGUAUUACAGGUUCGUCGAAUUGCCGCAGCAAUUGUCAAACUAACACUUUGCAUCUUUAGUACUUAUACUGUUGGGAAGGCCCAAUGAAGUAUGUAGAAUAAUUUAAUUACUUUUUUGAUCAAUAAACAAAACAACGCCAUCGGGAAUCGCAACAAUCAAACUUUUUCCAUUUUGGGAUGGGUGUGUUUAUAGUUUACCAGAUUGUGGGGUUCUGCGAUAGAACAUUGUGAAUAUCCGUACUAAUACAUUCGUAUCCGAGGAAGUAAUAUGGAUUUGAUGGAUGUGUAGGCUGUACUGCCUCUAAGUUUAUACGCUGAGCAAUAUAACAUGCCAUUAAGCGUAACAACACACUAGUCGAUUUUCGCCGAACGGGCCGCCACCGCCGCUGGGGUUAUACCUAUAUUACACGAAGUCAUUUUUACGUUCCUAUUAAGAUUGUUCAUUGCUUCCUCAUUUGGGACAAAAUAAAAUAAUACCCUUGUUUAUUCAUGAAAAACAACAGGUCCUUGUCGAAAUCAAUCUUAUAAUGAUGUGACAGGUGACUGAAUCGCUGGUCGUGUGCACUGUGCCCCGCCCCGCUGUUCAGCAGGCGCGGCUAAGCAUCGCUGCGAAGUCGCCUAGUGUGAAGGGGCACAAAUUUAAUUAUGUGCGACACAUGCCCCCGGAGAUAUGUGCAGUUUUGCAGCUACUUCCACGGGUAUUGCAUCAUAUACUGCAUGACAGAAUUGCGCAAGUUGCAUCAUCUUUGUAUUCCGUAAACAUUUCGUCCCCACGCUGCGGAACUCAAAAACAAGUAAACUAGAUGGAACUUACUUGAACAGUUGUCUACAUAUCCCAGGCGGUAUCCAUAGCACUGUGGUAAAGUUGCAUUACAAUACCCCGGCGAUAUGUAACGCAUCAACAGCAAGUUAUUGUUUUAAGCUACCGCAGUCAACGUGAGGCGUAUUUUGGCAAAAGUUUAAAUUACACCCCUACAAACUUCAUCCAAUGAGACUGUAGCAGUUGUAAACGAAAUGUUUAUUGGAAAACUGAUAUCGCGUCGGGGGGACAUUCCGUGGUCUCGCCGGAGCCCUGAUCUCACGCCACUGGAAUUUUUUUCUGGGUGUAUCUCAAGAGCCGCGUUUACGCUAAUAAAGCGAUGACGAUUGCCCAGCUCAAAAACAACAUUCGCGAGGAAAUGUCCGCUAUCCCACGAGCGAUGUGCCAGCAAGUUUUCACGAAUUUGAGGUCUAGAUUCGAGGAGUGUGUACGUUUAGAUGGCACACAUCUCGGUGACGUUAUUUUAAACAAAUAAAAUUCGUAUGUGUUUACUUUUUUAUUAUAAAUAUAAAUUUUCCUUCCUGAGAUUUUUCCGUCUGUGUAGGUUUAUAGGUUAUGUAGGUAUAUUUGUAUAUAACAAUAUGCACCAGUUCACCACACUAAUUACCUGUGCGCCGAAGCGCCCCCCUUUUUGGAUAAGUACCUCCGCCGAAACGCCUCGUCCUCCGAAACGUCUCGCCGCCAGAACGCCUUCCCGCAGAAACAUCGCGUACCGUGUAGGUCCGGAUUUGGGCUGAGGCUUGUGACUAUGAUGACUAUAUUUUGGCGACCGAGUUAUUGGGGGAAAUUCGUAUUUCGUGCAGAAUGUUAUGGUUGAAGAAUGUAGAUCUCUAGGUUGUGCCACAAUUACCCCGCAUAAGAAAGGUUCAAGAGAAUUGGCGUCAACAAAUUAUUGAGGUCACGGACUGGACGUCGUCGACGAAAAAUACCAUUACCUAUUACAUAUUUGUAAUCAUUGUAUAAAACCCGAAAUAAAUAAAAAAGUUAGCA